AAAGAAAAAAGAAAGAAAACGAAAAAAAGAAAAGAAAGAAAAGAAAAAGAGAAAAGAAAAAAGAGAAGAAAAAGAGUUUGUUGACAGGGAAACGUUUUGGAAGGGUGCAAUGGUGAGAAAAACGGUUAUAGGGAAUUGAUUUUGAAAUCUCAGAGGCACAAGAUCAAAUUUAGUUUGGCUUGGAAAUAGGAAGAACAGAAUGGACUCACGCACACGUUGCUUCCUCACCAUUUCUCACCCUCCAAUCCAUGCACCUCCAACAGAAUCAUCACAUACAGGAUUCACUCCCAAUUGGGCACCCAAUCAUAAGAAAAAUAUCCCUUUUGCUCACCACCUACACCAUCACCUCAUCACUCCAACCAUUUGGUCAUAUACCGCUACUACUAAUACCAUUUUCGGCCAUCUUCAUCUUCAAUAAAUCUUCGUUCCCAUCUUCCUUCUCAAGGAAUUUCCCUACAUUCAAACCAAAACAGAGACAACCAAAUCAACUUCCUAACCUCCACUACGUUUUCCAUCAUCAUAUACCGAUUCAUCCAAAUUCUCGAGGCACCAAAACCUUUUUUUUCAAUCCAUCACACCCACUCUAAUUCCUCAUCUCCAUCAACACCAAACGGAAACCAAUUCUUGCUCACCACAUAACAGAAACCACUCUCCAUUACUCCAACUUGUCAUUCCCCCAACUGGAUUGAUCCCUUCAACCAUCACAUACAAGGCACACAUCAAGACCUUCACCUUCAACCUACAAAACCAAACCAAAACAGAGAAGAACGCCAUCCCGUCAUCCAUUUCAUUGCUCCUAUCAUCUCCAACACCAAUGAUUUCCCAUUAACAGUUUGGAGCAUUAUCCUCCUCCAUCACACAAAACCCAAUCAAGGCAAACCGGAGAAGAAGCCAUUCGCCUCCAGUGCCAUCUAACAUUCACCUGCAAAUCAAACAGAAAAUACGAUACAGUGGAAGCGUUUCAAUCACGGUGCUAUGGUGUGGCUGAUACGCGGCAGUGAGCAACAGCAUCGACGAAGAGUCACGAUUCGCGGCGGCGACGUUGGUUUCGCUGGCGAAGUGGUUUUCGAAUUCGAAUAGAAGAAGGAGAGGAAGGGGAAACUCCUGCUUUCGAACCGCAUCGGACCAGAGGUUGAUGAGGGAAACCGUUACCCUGGAUUGUUUCCGGUGACGUCGCGACCUAGGGUAGGAGGAGAAGAGUCCUCUCUCACGCGCAAAGAGAGGCGGGAGUGAGGAGAUCUCUAUCGGCGCUUCCAUUGGCGACGGCUUGCGGCGACUGGUACGGAGGCGUUGACGACUGGCAAAGUGGAGGUGGCGGCAUCCUCAAGUAGAGAGGCGAACCUGUCGCUGGCCGUUACCUUCGAGAGAGGAGAAGGCCUUGUGUUUCUCUCGACAGCGCUUGGAAAAAAUGAGAAGAAAUGGGAGGAACCCGUAUCAGUUUCUAUUAGGGUUAAAUGGCCUUGGGCCUGAUUAUGGGCUGCAUUCUUUCUGGCGCCACACAAAUCAUAUUCACACCACCACUCUAUUUCUGCAAACAAGAAAAGAGGGUUUGGGCCUGGCCAUUGGGCUUCAGUCUCUCUGCCUGCCACCUGGCGCAACUCUGUUCACACUCCCCUG
RNAcentral lists this long non-coding RNA (1617 nucleotides) under Vigna radiata. Its description in RNAcentral is "long non-coding RNA (VRAD_LNC008381)". The record is from RNAcentral. Lineage: Eukaryota; Viridiplantae; Streptophyta; Magnoliopsida; Fabales; Fabaceae.